Molecule: long non-coding RNA, 559 nt
Organism: Pyrgilauda ruficollis (rufous-necked snowfinch)
Lineage: Eukaryota; Metazoa; Chordata; Aves; Passeriformes; Passeridae
Exons: 5
Source: RefSeq, a predicted model, not a curated record
UAAUCCUGCAUCACCUGAGCUUUUCUCACUACGUUGGUUGGACAUGUCAAAGAAAAAACUUGGAAGUCCUGAAAACCAGGGAGACACAACAUCACACCUGAAAUUUUAAUCAUCAUUGAUUGAUCAUCUGCAAUGGCAGGAAAUCGUAAUUUGAGAAUACCACCUAAAAGCUAAGGCACUUCUUUAUUCAACACUUAAAUACUACAGUGAGAAUGAUGAGAGAAAGCAGAGCAAGAAUUCCUGGCAGAGAAGAUGAGGGUUUAGAAGAUGAAAAGCAGGACCCUUAGAACCUUUCCAAAGGGAUGCCACUUAAAGUGUUGGAGACACAUCUACAAGGUUCCAAUGAAUCCAAAAGAAUGAAACUGAGACUUGACAUCUGAGCAUGUUGAUGGACAAGGGCACAAGUCUAAAAUGACCAGGCAGCCAGUUGUCACAUGUCCUUACUACGCCAAAGGUAAAGCUACCAUUUGGGAAGCAGUAGCAGAAGCCUCCUUCUUCUCCAUCCAUUCAUUUUUAGUUUUAGGACACUGAUCUGGAUUUCCUUUGAAGUGCUUAUAGG